AUGCCACCUUCCGUGCAUGACACAGAAGGCCUGCUGUUCAUGAAGCAUGGUUGUGUCUUCAGUGCGCACCGCUGGAUGAACGACAUGCUGGGACACGCUAUCCCUGAUUUAUGCCGCUUCAGCUUGGAUGAGUCUCCAUCGUGUGGAGCCGGACUAGAAAGCUGCGACAAUGAUUCCGGUUGCCCACCGCUAUGGAUCGUGCCAUCCAUGAAGAACACCUGGGACUGGAACCUGGAGGAGGACAUACACAUAUGUCAUCGGUGUAACUAUUUACACUCCAAAGGACGGUAUAUCCUGGUAGUAGUAGUAGAAUUGAGAUUUAAUGCACUUUCUUCCCCGUCUUCCACUCUUCUUCCUCCUCUCUUCCCCAUCGUCGGCCGCACAUCAUUUCCCCCCGCUCUCUGCUUGCCCGCCCGCGCUAUCUUCCUUGGUAGCUCGCGCGAUUUUUAUAACAACUACUAUAUAACUGGAAUUAACCCAUGCAAGUCGAAGAAGGAUUGGUCGGUGUUGCCGGCUGGCGUUAAGUUCGAUCCCACGGAUCAGGAGCUGAUCGAGCACCUUGAGGCCAAAGUGAGUGCUGACAGUGCGAGAUCUCACCCUCUCAUCGAUUUGUUCAUACCAACCAUUGACAGCGAGCACGGCAUAUGCUACAUCCAUCCUGAGAAACUUCCAGCGCAAUUCCAGGGCGUUAGGGGAACGUGGACGUGUCGCAAGAUACAGUCGAAGUGCGGCAUGCACGCGAUGUGGCACAACACUGGCAAUACCUUGCCGGUGAUGGUCAGCGGCCGACAGACGGGCAGCAAAAAGGUUCUGGUGCUGCACACCAACAAGAACUUCGACCAGCAGAGGACCAACUGGGUGAUGCACCAGUACCACCUCGGGGACCUGGAGCAAGAGAAGGAGCGGGAGCUAGUCCUCUGCAAGAUUUUCUACCAGACAACACUAGGGCCGGGAGUAAAAAGAUUAUAA
Molecule: ribosomal RNA, 969 nt
Filed under: Triticum aestivum (bread wheat)
Lineage: Eukaryota; Viridiplantae; Streptophyta; Magnoliopsida; Poales; Poaceae
Description: partial small subunit ribosomal RNA
Source: RNAcentral